GCCUGGCUGGCUCAGUGGGAGGAGCACGCGACUCUUCAUUUCAGGGUCAUGAGUUCGAGCCCCAUGCCGGGCG
Molecule: transfer RNA, 73 nt
Filed under: Ailuropoda melanoleuca (giant panda)
Lineage: Eukaryota; Metazoa; Chordata; Mammalia; Carnivora; Ursidae
Rfam family: tRNA
About the family: Transfer RNA (tRNA) molecules are approximately 80 nucleotides in length. Their secondary structure includes four short double-helical elements and three loops (D, anti-codon, and T loops).
Source: Rfam by way of RNAcentral